RNAcentral lists this long non-coding RNA (1005 nucleotides) under Papio anubis (olive baboon). RNAcentral describes it as "lncRNA (ENSPANG00000038915.1)". Lineage: Eukaryota; Metazoa; Chordata; Mammalia; Primates; Cercopithecidae. The record is from RNAcentral.
CGGCACAAUACUCCCGGGGGUUGGAGGUUUAGGUGCAACCGCAGGGCGGGGGAGGUAGUGGGUGCAAGCCACCAGCUGCAGGGUAGGAGAACGCUCGCAGGAGGACCGGUGCAAAUCUCCCCUCGGCCAGCUAACCCGUGCCGCCCCAGCCUCCCCUCAGGCCUCGGGGCGAGCGGACCCGCUGCAAAACUGCAGCCAAGCCCGGGUCCGGGAGGGAGGGGGCGAAAGGGCAGGAGCGGGGCACCCUCAGCACAAGCUGGCUGCCCGAGGAGCUCAGCGCCCGGGGCCUCCCAGCCGGAUGGAGGCUGCUCCGGCCUAGCGCACGCAGCUGCCUCGGCGAAGGGUUACGCCGGCCCCCGGAGCCCGGGCCGGCCCGGCGGGCGGCGGAGAGGAAGGGCUGCCGGGGGCGCCGCUGCGACGGUGGCGAGUGCGUGGGGGAAGGGGCCCUUACUCACCCGGGCCGGCCGCCUCCGCCUCCGCCGCCCCGGCCGCCGCCUCGGCGGUCCAUCCUUGCGGCGGGGGCCUGCAGCAGCGCCGCUCGAGUCACAACCGCCGGCUGGGCCGGCCCCUCCCCCCUGCCCAACGUCUGUCCUCAGGGCCGCUCCUCAAGACCCGGCCUCGGCCGCUGCCGCUGCCGCCGCCGCCGCAGCGCUACGUGGCCGCCGCUCCGACGUCUCGCGACUCCCUUCCCAGCGCGCGAGGGCGAGCGGGGCCGGCGGGGCGGGCAGCACGGGGCGGGCGGCAGGGGAGGGGGUGUGCGUGUGUGGAUGUGUGUGCCGGAGGGGGCAGGGAGGGAGGCGAGCGGCUGCGAGGGCGCGCGCGCGCGCCCGCGGCCCCUUCCCUCGCCGGCCCCCCCGCCCAACAGGGAUCCCGACACCUCCCUCCGCCCGCCCCCUCGGCAUCCCGGCCGCUGGGAGCGGCGGCGCGCAUGCGCAGCCCUCGGGCCGGCCCGGGCGCACCUUUUCUGCCUCCUGCCACAUUGUGAGCGCUCCGCCGCCCAGAUAA